AUUGAACGCUGGCGGCAGGCCUAACACAUGCAAGUCGAACGAGUGGCGGACGGGUGAGUAAUGUCUGGGAAACUGCCCGAUGGAGGGGGAUAACUACUGGAAACGGUAGCUAAUACCGCAUACCAUCGGAUGUGCCCAGAUGGGAUUAGCUAGUAGGUGGGGUAACGGCUCACCGAGGCGACGAUCCCUAGCUGGUCUGAGAGGAUGACAAGCAAAACUGGAACGGAGACACGGUCCAGACUCAGACGGGAGGCAGCAGUGGGGAGUAGUGCACAAUGGGCGCAAGCCUGAUGCAGCCAUGCCGCGUGUAUGAAGAAGGCCUUCGGGUUGGAAAGUACUUUCAGCGGGGAGGCGUUACUAGCAGAAGAAGAACCGGCUAACUCCGUGCCAGCAGCCGCGGUAAUAC
This 406-nucleotide ribosomal RNA is filed under the name uncultured bacterium. Its description in RNAcentral is "partial 16S ribosomal RNA". It matches the Rfam family "Bacterial small subunit ribosomal RNA", at positions 29 to 526 of the family's 1533-position model. The record is from RNAcentral.